CGUUGAUUACGUCCCUGCCCUUUGUACACACCGCCCGUCGCUACUACCGAUUGAAUGGCUCAGUGAGGCUUUCGGACCGGCCCAGGAAGAGUGGCAACACUCAUCUAGGGCCGGAAAGUUGUUCAAACUUGGUCAUUUAGAGGAAGUAAAAGUCGUAACAAGG
This 163-nucleotide ribosomal RNA is filed under the name Leohumicola verrucosa. Its description in RNAcentral is "partial small subunit ribosomal RNA". It matches the Rfam family "Eukaryotic small subunit ribosomal RNA", at positions 1639 to 1799 of the family's 1831-position model. The record is from RNAcentral. Lineage: Eukaryota; Fungi; Ascomycota; Leotiomycetes.